CCUACGGGUGGCUGCAGUGGGGAAUAUUGGACAAUGGGGGGAACCCUGAUCCAGCCAUGCCGCGUGUGUGAAGAAGGCCCUCGGGUUGUAAAGCACUUUCAGUGAGGAAGAACGCCUGGUGGUUAAUACCCAUCAGGAAAGACAUCACUCACAGAAGAAGCACCGGCUAACUCCGUGCCAGCAGCCGCGGUAAUACAGAGGGUGCGAGCGUUAAUCGGAAUUACUGGGCGUAAAGCGCGCGUAGGUGGCUUGAUAAGCCGGUUGUGAAAGCCCCGGGCUCAACCUGGGAACGGCAUCCGGAACUGUCAAGCUAGAGUGCAGGAGAGGAAGGUAGAAUUCCCGGUGUAGCGGUGAAAUGCGUAGAGAUCGGGAGGAAUACCAGUGGCGAAGGCGGCCUUCUGGACUGACACUGACACUGAGGUGCGAAAGCGUGGGUAGCAAACAGGAUUAGAUACCCUUGUAGUC
Molecule: ribosomal RNA, 465 nt
Filed under: Vreelandella stevensii
Lineage: Bacteria; Pseudomonadati; Pseudomonadota; Gammaproteobacteria; Oceanospirillales; Halomonadaceae
Description: partial 16S ribosomal RNA
Rfam family: Bacterial small subunit ribosomal RNA
Source: RNAcentral